UGACGAAUCGUUUACUGUUAGCAGUGCAUCAUUUGACAGUUUCUUUGGGUACGACAAUCCAGAUGAUGUAAACGAUGAUGAUUUGCCAAACGAAAAGGAUGAAAACCUAAUGGAAAACAGACCGCAAAAUUUCAAAAUGAAUAAAAAAUCAGUGGAACUCACAACAGGUAAGUGUACUUUUUACAACAUGUAAUAAAUUUUAGCAUGUGAUGAUUGCUUUCAUUGCUGUGUUGUGUUGAUCCAGAACAUGGUCUUUCUAUACAAAUGGAGCUCGUCUAGUAGACUUUCUUUGUUCAGUACAAUAAAGUAGUUUAUACAUUUAUUCAGAAUAAGCAGGCUUCUUAAUGGAAUAUUUUAAAAUGUGUAAUAACGAGAGCAAUCUAACAGUAUUAUUUUCCUGUAGAUUCAUUUAUUUUCGUUGGUCUCCAUUUUCUUGGAUUGAGGAAAACUAGCAUGCUUGUGGACGUUUAAUUUCGUUGUUUUGGCAAAGUCUACAUUAGUUUCCAAAGAAAAUUUCUAAUUCGUUGAACAUUUAAUUUCGUGGUUCCUCUGAACCCACGAAAGACACGAAAAUUGGUAUUCAACGAAUAUUAAUGAAUCCACAGGAAAAUAAUACUGCCAAUAGAACCUAGGAGUCAAAACAACAAUGAACGCAAUCAUGAUACACGUUUUUUUUCUAAACAAGAUACAAACAACUUGGAUGACAUGGUCUUCACAGAAAGUAAGAAUGUUGAGAAAGCCAUGACAACUAAAAGUGAUGACGAAACUGUAAGCAGUGCUUUAAGGGAAAGAAAAUUUGCAAGUGAUAGCCUGACGAAAGAGAAAGAAGGUAUAGUAGUAAAAAAUGUUACGUCUACAUAUAGACGAACUAUAUAUUCUACUUACAUUGCGGACUAUUUUCAAAAUCGCAUCAGUCAUGCAUUCACAUUACAAAUCGUAAAUUUUCUAGUAAUCGAAACUCACAGCUUAAUAUUAUAAAAGUUUAAAGAGCACAAUGAUCACUAUUUUCUGUGCGAUUUACAACUGAAUAUAUCGCUUCUAUUCUGAUUUAAAUAAUGAUCACUAUUUUCUGUGCGAUCUACACCUGAAUAUAUCGCAUUUAUUCUGAUUUAAAUGAUGAUCACUAUUUUCUGUGCGAUUUACACCUGAAUAUAUCGCAUCUAUUCUGAUUUAAAUAAUGAUCACUAUUUUCUGUGCGAUUUAAACUUGAAUAUAUCGCAUCUAUUCUGAUUUAAAUAAUGAUCACUAUUUUCUGUGCGAUUUACACCUGAAUAUAUCGCAUCUAUUCUGAUUUGAAUGAUGAUCACUAUUUUCUGUGCGAUUUACACCUGAAUAUAUCGCAUCUAUUCUGAUUUAAAUAAUGAUCACUAUUUUCUGUGCGAUUUGCACCUGAAUAUAUCGCAUCUAUUCUGAUUUAAAUAAUGAUCACUAUUUUCUGUGCGAUUUACACCUGAAUAUAUCGCAUCUAUUCUGAUUUAAAUAAUGAUCACUAUUUUCUGUGCGAUUUACAACUGAAUAUAUCGCAUCUAUUCUGAUUUAAAUAAUGAUCACUAUUUUCUGUGCGAUUUACACCUCAAUAUAUCGCAUCUAUUCUGAUUUAAAUAAUGAUCACUAUUUUCAGUGCGAUUUACAACUGAAUAUAUCGCAUCUAUUCUGAUCUAAAUAACUCUUUUGUUUUAUUUCCUUAUUAUUGCACUACUUUUAUUUAUUAAUUUCUCUCGUUAAGUAAAGAAAUACUAAAUUUAUGAUUUCUUGAUAAAGCUUUGCUGCUUCUUGUUAGUUGACCAAUGGUUCCUAAUGGUAAAGUGGAAGUCUACGGGCGCUAUCAUGGAUUGUUUGACUGUUAUGGAUUAUAUGACAUAUAUUCCUUUGGACCAAUCUAAUUAAAAUAUUGAUCUCUCAUUACUUUAUACUACAUAUGUAGUAUAACGUAAUCAGAAAUAUUGAUCUCUGAUUACGUUAUGUAGUAUAACGUAAUCAGAGAUCAAUGUUUUAAUUAGAUUGCCUUUGGACGAAUACCUUAUCUUGUAUUCUUUUCUCGAUUAUCAAUUACAACUUUUUAUUUGUUAUAUGAUUGUAUGUCUAAUGGUACAUUGGCUAAUCCUGUAAUAUAUGCAUCAGUUGAAAUACUUAAUUCUGUACAUCAUUUUGUGUUCUUUGUUAUCACAUAUCUUAAAGCAUGCUUAAAUAUCUGAUCUCAUUUUAGGUACAAAGAUGCACAUUGAGAGCACUUUAGAAAAUAGUCUGUCAGAGAAAAAUUAUAUUUCAAGGAAAUGUUUUCACAAUGAAGCCAUUGGUUUAUUUCAUGAUAAUGCAUUGUCUGACAUAAAGGCAGAUCCAUCUUUUGGAUUCAGAACACCAGGUAGUAGAGUGUUAUAUAAUGGGGCAUUGGUUAUUACGGAUGGAGGCGGCGACGAAAUAUCUGAUGAUGGGUCAGUUAUAGAUAUGCCAGAAGAAGAACUGACAAAAUGGAAAACAUCUAAGAACAAAAUCAACAAUAAAGUUAGUCAAAUAGAAAGUAACAAACAUCUUGGCGAUAUAAUUUCUAGUACACCAUACGCUGAGAAAAAGGCCACAGGACUAGAGAAAACUGAAAUUGGAAUAUAUCCUUGUGAACCAUUUAACCAAGCGUACGAUCAUUUAAAAACUCCGUCACAACCUUUAUUAGCCCCUCUUUUUUCUCUGCCACGGCGAGGGAUGCUGGAUCCACUCUUCCCUAUUCAGGAAACGAUUGAUAAAAAAGAUAGCACUACUAAAUCAGGCAAGAAGAAUUCAAAAAGGAAGAAAAAGAUCAAAACAAAAGUCAUAAAAAAAGAAUCCAUGCAAUGGCCUGAACCAAAACCAGCCGAAUCCGAAACGCACUGUGAUUCAAGUACCGGUUCGUUCUCAAUGCCAUCAUUUGAACUCGCAGAGGAUAUACAAUUAUUAAGCAAUGAGAAUUUAAGCGGGUCAGAUAUGAAAUUUAACGCGGAUUCAAACGACCAAUUUUCAAGUUGCCUUAAACAUGUCCGAUUCAGGGAAGACGCUGAAGUAUUCUAUAUAGAUCCAUACCAGAGUUCCGAUGACCAAUCAGCCGAGAAUCGUGUCGACAGUAAAAAUAACAUUUCAGAACAGUUAUUACAAUCUCCAGACGAAAAGAGGAAAAGAAACGCUGAUGAUGACUUUAGUGAUGAUAUGUCAAGCGAUUCUUUUGCUGGGAGAAACUUUCGCAAUGAAAUGAAUUUAAAAAUGAAUGACGAUUUUAUUAUAGAUUCAUAUGAAAGCUCCGACUCAGGUUAACUAAUUAUAUAGCAAGGAAACAAUAAAAGCACUUAUUAUUUUCUGGUUAUUAUGUU
RNAcentral lists this long non-coding RNA (3335 nucleotides) under Mytilus galloprovincialis (Mediterranean mussel). Lineage: Eukaryota; Metazoa; Mollusca; Bivalvia; Mytilida; Mytilidae. The record is from RNAcentral.